AACAAACGCUGGCGGCGUGCCUAAUACAUGCAAGUCGAACGGGGAAAGUAGCAAUAUGAGUACUAGUGGCGCACGGGUGAGUAACGCGUGGAUAAUCUGCCUUGAAGAGGGGGAUAACUAGUCGAAAGAUUAGCUAAUACCGCAUAAGACCACAAGAACUGAGGUUCAAGGGGUCAAAGGUUUUUCGCUUCAAGAUGAGUCCGCGUAAGAUUAGCUAGUUGGUGAGGUAAUGGCUCACCAAGGCAACGAUCUUUAACUGGUCUGAGAGGAUGAUCAGUCACACUGGAACUGAGACACGGUCCAGACUCCUACGGGAGGCAGCAGUAGGGAAUAUUGCACAAUGGAGGAAACUCUGAUGCAGCGACGCCGCGUGAGUGAUGAAGGCCUUCGGGUCGUAAAGCUCUGUCGCAGGGGAAUACCACAAUGAAUGUACCCUGUAAGAAAGGAUCGGCUAACUUCGUG
RNAcentral lists this ribosomal RNA (462 nucleotides) under uncultured bacterium. RNAcentral describes it as "partial 16S ribosomal RNA". It matches the Rfam family "Bacterial small subunit ribosomal RNA", at positions 29 to 507 of the family's 1533-position model. The record is from RNAcentral.